This 451-nucleotide ribosomal RNA is filed under the name uncultured bacterium. RNAcentral describes it as "bacterial SSU rRNA". It matches the Rfam family "Bacterial small subunit ribosomal RNA", at positions 354 to 796 of the family's 1533-position model. The record is from RNAcentral.
GUGAGGAAUCUUGCGCAAUGGGGGAAACCCUGACGCAGCAACGCCGCGUGAGUGAGGAAGGUUUUCGGAUCGUAAAGCUCUGUCGGGUGGAAAGAAAUGCAUGGAGGUUAAUAUCCCUCAUGCUUGACGGUACCACCAGAGGAAGCACCGGCUAACUCCGUGCCAGCAGCCGCGGUAAUACGGGGGGUGCAAGCGUUGUUCGGAAUUAUUGGGCGUAAAGAGCGUGUAGGCGGCUUGGUAAGUCAGAUGUGAAAUCCCUGGGCUUAACCCAGGAAGUGCAUUUGAAACUGUCAGGCUCGAGUAGGGGAGAGGGAAGUGGAAUUCCUGGUGUAGAGGUGAAAUUCGUAGAUAUCAGGAGGAACACCGGCGGCGAAGGCGACUUCCUGGCCCUAUACUGACGCUGAGACGCGAGAGCGUGGGUAGCAAACAGGAUUAGAAACCCCAGUAGUCC